This 429-nucleotide ribosomal RNA is filed under the name Chloroflexota bacterium. RNAcentral describes it as "Chloroflexi bacterium partial 16S ribosomal RNA". It matches the Rfam family "Bacterial small subunit ribosomal RNA", at positions 355 to 776 of the family's 1533-position model. The record is from RNAcentral. Lineage: Bacteria; Bacillati; Chloroflexota.
UGGGGAAUAUUGCACAAUGGGCGCAAGCCUGUUGCAGCCAUGCCGCGUGUAUGAAGAAGGCCUUCGGGUUGUAAAGUACUUUCAGCGGGGAGGAAGGGAGUAAAGUUAAUACCUUUGCUCAUUGACGUUACCCGCAGAAGAAGCACCGGCUAACUCCGUGCCAGCAGCCGCGGUAAUACGGAGGGUGCAAGCGUUAAUCGGAAUUACUGGGCGUAAAGCGCACGCAGGCGGUUUGUUAAGUCAGAUGUGAAAUCCCCGGGCUCAACCUGGGAACUGCAUCUGAUACUGGCAAGCUUGAGUCUCGUAGAGGGGGGUAGAAUUCCAGGUGUAGCGGUGAAAUGCGUAGAGAUCUGGAGGAAUACCGGUGGCGAAGGCGGCCCCCUGGACGAAGACUGACGCUCAGGUGCGAAAGCGUGGGGAGCAAACAGG